Molecule: ribosomal RNA, 254 nt
Filed under: uncultured bacterium
Lineage: Bacteria
Description: partial 16S ribosomal RNA
Rfam family: Bacterial small subunit ribosomal RNA
Source: RNAcentral
CACGUAGGCACCAAGCGUUGUCCGGAUUUAUUGGGCGUAAAGCGCUCGUAGGCGGUUCAGUAAGUCGGGUGUGAAAACUUUGGGCUUAACCCAAAGCGUGCAUCCGAUACUGCUGUGACUUGAGUUCGGUAGGGGAGCAGGGAAUUCCUAGUGUAGCGGUGAAAUGCGCAGAUAUUAGGAGGAACACCGGUGGCGAAGGCGCUGCUCUGGGCCGAAACUGACGCUGAGGAGCGAAAGCGUGGGUAGCAAACAGG